Molecule: long non-coding RNA, 523 nt
Organism: Artibeus jamaicensis (Jamaican fruit-eating bat)
Lineage: Eukaryota; Metazoa; Chordata; Mammalia; Chiroptera; Phyllostomidae
Exons: 3
Source: RefSeq, a predicted model, not a curated record
UCCCCUCCUUGCUGGAUUGAAGAGAGUCGCCUCCAUCCCUCUACCAAAGGUCAUAGCCUGCACAGCCCUCUCCCUUCUGCUUCAAUUGUGGGGACACACAGUAGUAUCCUGAGACAGCACAGCAAAGUGCCCGGAAGGUGAGCUUGGAGUCACACAGACCUGCCGUCAACCAGCUGAGUGGUUUCUUCAUUAGCAAGGGUUACUACGGUCUGCCACAGUGCGAGGUAAAAGAAUGAGACGAGGGACACAGUUGAUCCACGAAUUGCCCGGAAUAACUGAGUAAUCACUGCAGAUUGCGCCUGCCUCGUGGGUGUUCUCAGGGACACAGCAAACAGUUGUCUUUCUGCUUCUACUGCGCCUGCUGUGCUGCAAAGGGGCACUUGGACGGGGGCCCUUGUGGGUGAUGUCUUCUCCCACUGGGCUGGCCAGAAAGUCCACUACAUUUUUCCUGUACAAUGGCUUUAGUAGUGCUUAGUUAUCUUUAACCUCAUUUGAAACAAUUUUGUUAGACUGUAUUGUGACA